RNAcentral lists this ribosomal RNA (2227 nucleotides) under Parcubacteria group bacterium CG22_combo_CG10-13_8_21_14_all_41_9. Its description in RNAcentral is "partial 23S ribosomal RNA". The stretch from base 965 to 2223 matches the Rfam family "Bacterial large subunit ribosomal RNA", at positions 2046 to 2912 of the family's 2925-position model. The record is from RNAcentral.
AAUCAGCGCAAUAGGGCAAACCCAUAAGUCAGCUUUACUGCAAGGGCGACAACCCGAGCAGUCGCGAAAGCGGAAGUUAGUGAUCCGACCGUACGAUAUAGGACGGCGGAAGCUCAACGGAUAAAAGUUACUCCGGGGAUACAACUGUGUCCCUGCGCAAUGGCAACAUCGCGCAAAGUACAUGGCUAAUAACGGUGAAACCCAUAUGGUGGCUUUCGAGGCGCCAUGCGGGCAAUACCGUGGGAAGUCAGGGGAGCUAAUUAAGAUUACUCUUAUGAAGCUUACAAAAAAACAAAAGGCGAUUAUUUACGGCGUUAUAUUCGGCGAUGGAUAUCUGCAGAAAACAGGAACUCAGAACGCGCGCUUGCGCGUUGAGCAUUCCAAAAAGCAGGAAGCGUACGCGCAAUGGCUGUAUGAAAAUCUUGAAAAUAUUUUUUCUGACAAGCCAAAGCGAAUAGACCGCGUCCAUCCAAAAAACAAGAAGACAUAUGAAUAUGUCCGAUUGCAAAGUAACGCGUCGCCUUGGUUCGGGAAACUGCGGCAGAAAUUUUACGACAACAGCAACAAAAAAGUGGUGCCGUCUGAAAUCGCGCUUUUUCUUGAAUCGCCAUUAUCAUUGGCAGUAUGGUACAUGGAUGAUGGAUAUUAUUACGCGCGGGAUAAAUCAGCGCAUUUCUAUCUUCCGAACUAUAACCAAGAAGGCAGGGCGCGCAUUAUCAGCGCUCUAAAAAAUAAUUUUGAUAUUAAUGCAACAGCGUAUUGCAGGCCAGAUAGGAACGCGUGUCACAUUACUAUCAAUGGAGCUGAUCUACAUCAGUUCAAAAAUAUUAUAAAACCAUAUCUUAUACCUAGUAUGAGAUAUAAACUCCCCUUGACCCCGUAACGACUGAGAGCGAGAAAUAUGAAAGUUUUAGAGCUCGAGAUAUAAGUUAUUUUGCUUAUAUAAUAUGCCGUGCCCCGCCGAAUCGGCGGGUGAAGAUAUAGUCUACGCCUGAUAGCAAUAUCAGGAUAUAAUACUCAAAAAAGUAUUGUGAACAGGCUGAUCUCCCCCAAGAGCUCACAUCGACGGGGAGGUUUGGCACCUCGAUGUCGGCUCAUCACAUCCUGGGGCUGAAGAAGGUCCCAAGGGUCCGGCUGUUCGCCGGUUAAAGUGGUACGCGAGCUGGGUUCAGAACGUCGUGAGACAGUAGAUUGUGCUGUCUAUAAAUUUGGCUAUAUGCUGGAAACUCUGGAGAGUCCGCGGAGACAAUUGUAGGACUCGCGCAUCUCACACUACUAUGCUAUACUUGUGUAUAUGAAUAGUGACAAUGUGUUGAGUGCAGACAACCAGCAGGAAAGACCAAAAAUUCAACCAUGGUAUGUUGCGGGAUUUGUUGACGGCGAAGGAACAUUUCAUAUUGCCAUCAAUAAAUCAAAAGAAAAUCGUUUCGGUUUACGAUUUAUUCCGGAAUUCCAUAUAAAUCAGAAUUCUCCAAGCAAAGAUGUCUUGGAAGAUAUUAUGUCUUUAUUUGGUUGCGGAUAUAUCAAGCAAAACCACAAAACAAGCAUCCGUGAUAAAACAUGGGUGUAUGUGGUGCGAAAUCGAAAUGAUCUGCUGAAUAUUAUUAUUCCAUUUUUUGACGCGCACCCUCUAAGAACACAGAAACAAAAAGAUUUUCUUCUGUUUAAAAGAGUGGCAAGCAUGAUGUCCGGAAACGAACAUCAUAAAAAAAAUGGCAUAAAAAAGAUAAUCAGCUUGGCUUAUAACAUGAACCAAGCAGGCAGAUACAGAAAAGUAUCAAAACAACAUAUCAUAGAAUUAUUGGAAUCCUCAGAGACUAUACGCCAGACGCGCUGCGAAUAGCUGCGUAAAGAUAUAGUCCGAACUGCAUGGCGACAUGCAGAGUGUAUUUCGCGAUACACCGCCACAGAGCACGCGCGGAUUAUAGAUGUGGUUUGCAAAGUAACAGAAUGUCGGUCUCCUAUCUACCAUGGGCGUUGAAUUCUGCGGGAGCUCCCCUCUAGUACGAGAGGACCGAGGGGAACGCACCUCCUGUGUACCGGCUGUGUCACCAGAUGCAGUGCCGGGUAGCGGCGUGCGGCAGUGAUAAGCGCUGAAAGCAUCUAAGCGCGAAGCACUUCCCAAGAUAAGAAUUCGUUAUAGGGCGGUCGGAGAUGACGACCUUGAUAGGCUCUAGGUGUAAGCAUAGCAAUAUGUUCAGCCAAGGAGUACUAAUAGCCCGAGUGC